GUAAACGAUGAGUGCUAGGUGUUAGGCCCUUUCCGGGGCUUAGUGCCGCAGCUAACGCAUUAAGCACUCCGCCUGGGGAGUACGACCGCAAGGUUGAAACUCAAAGGAAUUGACGGGGGCCCGCACAAGCGGUGGAGCAUGUGGUUUAAUUCGAAGCAACGCGAAGAACCUUACCAGGUCUUGACAUCCCAGUGACCGCUCUAGAGAUAGAGUUUUUCUUCGGAACACUGGUGACAGGUGGUGCAUGGUUGUCGUCAGCUCGUGUCGUGAGAUGUUGGGUUAAGUCCCGCAACGAGCGCAACCCUUAUUGUUAGUUGCCAUCAUUCAGUUGGGCACUCUAGCGAGACUGCCGGUAAUAAACCGGAGGAAGGUGGGGAUGACGUCAAAUCAUCAUGCCCCUUAUGACCUGGGCUACACACGUGCUACAAUGGUUGGUACAACGAGUCGCAAGUCGGUGACGGCAAGCAAAUCUCUUAAAGC
Molecule: ribosomal RNA, 480 nt
Filed under: uncultured Streptococcus sp.
Lineage: Bacteria; Bacillati; Bacillota; Bacilli; Lactobacillales; Streptococcaceae
Description: bacterial SSU rRNA
Rfam family: Bacterial small subunit ribosomal RNA
Source: RNAcentral